RNAcentral lists this ribosomal RNA (494 nucleotides) under uncultured bacterium. RNAcentral's name for it is "partial 16S ribosomal RNA". It matches the Rfam family "Bacterial small subunit ribosomal RNA", at positions 28 to 507 of the family's 1533-position model. The record is from RNAcentral.
GACGAACGCUGGCGGCGUGCCUAAUACAUGCAAGUAGAACGCUGAAGGAGGAGCUUGCUCUUCUGGAUGAGUUGCGAACGGGUGAGUAACGCGUAGGUAACCUGCCUGGUAGCGGGGGAUAACUAUUGGAAACGAUAGCUAAUACAGCAUAACAGUAGAUGUUGCAUGACAUUUACUUAAAAGGUGCAAUUGCAUCACUACCAGAUGGACCUCCGUUGUAUUAGCUAGUUGGUGGGGUAACGGCUCACCAAGCGAAGAAUCAUUAGCGAACCGGAGGGGGGGUCGGCCCACCUUGGACCGGGACCAGGGCCCAGCUCCUUCGGGAGGGAGCAAUAGGGAAUCUUCGGCAAAUGGGGGAAAGCUUACCGAGGAACGCCGGGGUAGUGAAGAAGGGUUUCGGAUCCUAAAGCUCCGUUGUAAGGGAAGAACCAGUUUUAUAGUUGAAUGUUCACAUUGUGACGGUACCUUACCAGAAAGCCACGGCUAACUACGUG